Molecule: ribosomal RNA, 425 nt
Filed under: uncultured eukaryote
Lineage: Eukaryota
Description: SSU rRNA
Rfam family: Eukaryotic small subunit ribosomal RNA
Source: RNAcentral
CCAGCAGCUGCGGUAAUUCCAGCUCCAAUAGCGUAUAUUAAAGUUGCUGCAGUUAAAAAGCUCGUAGUUGGAUCUUGGGAGCGGGCGGGCGGUCCGCCGCGAGGCGAGCCACCGCCCGUCCCCGCCCCUUGCCUCUCGGCGCCCCCUCGAUGCUCUUAGCUGAGUGUCCCGCGGGGCCCGAAGCGUUUACUUUGAAAAAAUUAGAGUGUUCAAAGCAGGCCCGAGCCGCCUGGAUACCGCAGCUAGGAAUAAUGGAAUAGGACCGCGGUUCUAUUUUGUUGGUUUUCGGAACUGAGGCCAUGAUUAAGAGGGACGGCCGGGGGCAUUCGUAUUGCGCCGCUAGAGGUGAAAUUCUUGGACCGGCGCAAGACGGACCAGAGCGAAAGCAUUUGCCAAGAAUGUUUUCAUUAAUCAAGAACGAAAGU